GUUCUAUUAUUAUUACGUUUACUGCUUGGUCUGUUUUCUUUGAUAUCCAUUUGACGUGGCUCGGUACUUAUACAUCCCUUCAGUGUUGUUUUUAUUAUCUUUCGUUUUUGCUGGUGUGUUUUGUGCGUGUGAUUUUUGUGUUCUUUGGUACAUGUGACGUGGCUCUGUGCUUUUAAAGAUCCCGCCAUUAUUUUAUUGUUCUAUUAUAAUGCCAUUGUUUUAUUGUUCUAUUAUAAUUUUGAAAAUACUUUGAACGACAAAAUUAUUUUACUUGCGUAGUGAUAUUAACCAUUUGGAUUAAAAAAAAACUUCUGGUUAAUUUUAAAUCUCGGUCAUUUUCUGAAAUAAGUUCUAACAAAACUUUUGAUUUUUAAAUUUUGUUUACCACCACUCCCCAUGUGAAAUUAUAAUUUUGAAAAUACUUUGAACGACAAUAUUAUUUUUAAUUUUUCUUCCUGUCUGACGCUUACAUUCUGACGUCAAACACUUGACUCUUCACUAGAGUAGAUGUGAACACAGUCACAGGACUUCAAAUAUUUCAAUCCUUUAUGGGUUGAUUU
Molecule: long non-coding RNA, 560 nt
Filed under: Mytilus galloprovincialis (Mediterranean mussel)
Lineage: Eukaryota; Metazoa; Mollusca; Bivalvia; Mytilida; Mytilidae
Source: RNAcentral